GUACACUCCUACGGGAGGCAGCAGUGAGGAAUAUUGGACAAUGGGUGGAAGCCUGAUCCAGCCAUCCCGCGUGCAGGAAGACGGCCCUAUGGGUUGUAAACUGCUUUUAUCUGGGGAUAAACCUACUUACGUGUAAGUAGCUGAAGGUACCAGAAGAAUAAGCACCGGCUAACUCCGUGCCAGCAGCCGCGGUAAUACGGAGGGUGCAAGCGUUAUCCGGAUUUAUUGGGUUUAAAGGGUCCGUAGGCGGACUGAUAAGUCAGUGGUGAAAUCCGACAGCUUAACUGUCGAACUGCCAUUGAUACUGUUAGUCUUGAGUAAGGUUGAAGUGGCUGGAAUAAGUAGUGUAGCGGUGAAAUGCAUAGAUAUUACUUAGAACACCAAUUGCGAAGGCAGGUCACUAAGUCUUAACUGACGCUGAUGGACGAAAGCGUGUGGAGCGAACAGGAUUAGAUACCCUGGUAGUCCCAUG
Molecule: ribosomal RNA, 472 nt
Filed under: uncultured organism
Description: partial 16S ribosomal RNA
Rfam family: Bacterial small subunit ribosomal RNA
Source: RNAcentral